Chiloscyllium plagiosum (whitespotted bambooshark) is the source of this 138-nucleotide non-coding RNA. The record is from RefSeq and is a predicted model, not a curated record. NCBI's taxonomy places the organism in Eukaryota, Metazoa, Chordata, Chondrichthyes, Orectolobiformes, Hemiscylliidae.
CUCAAACUGGUCAUCAGUGAGCAGGUUGUUGCUAAGUAUGUGUAACUUGACAGCACCAAUGGAGACACCUUCUGUCAUUUUACUGAUGAUUGAGAGUAGACUGAUUGGGGAGAUAAUUGGCUGUGUUGAAUAUUCCAG